This 696-nucleotide ribosomal RNA is filed under the name uncultured Gammaproteobacteria bacterium. RNAcentral's name for it is "bacterial SSU rRNA". It matches the Rfam family "Bacterial small subunit ribosomal RNA", at positions 8 to 702 of the family's 1533-position model. Lineage: Bacteria; Pseudomonadati; Pseudomonadota; Gammaproteobacteria. The record is from RNAcentral.
AGAGUUUGAUCCUGGCUCAGAUUGAACGCUGGCGGCAGGCCUAACACAUGCAAGUCGAGCGCGAAAGCACUUCGGUGUGAGUAGAGCGGCGGACGGGUGAGUAACGCGUAGGAAUCUACCUAGUAGUGGGGGACAACUCGGGGAAACUCGAGCUAAUACCGCAUAAGCCCUACGGGGGAAAGCGGGGGACCUUCGGGCCUCGUGCUAUUAGAUGAGCCUGCGUUGGAUUAGCUAGUUGGUGGGGUAAAGGCCUACCAAGGCGACGAUCCAUAGCUGGUCUGAGAGGAUGAUCAGCCACACCGGGACUGAGACACGGCCCGGACUCCUACGGGAGGCAGCAGUGGGGAAUAUUGCGCAAUGGGCGAAAGCCUGACGCAGCCAUGCCGCGUGUGUGAAGAAGGCCUUCGGGUUGUAAAGCACUUUCAAUUGGGAGGAAAGGUUCACGGUUAAUAACCGUGAGCUGUGACGUUACCUUUAGAAGAAGCACCGGCUAACUCCGUGCCAGCAGCCGCGGUAAUACGGAGGGUGCGAGCGUUAAUCGGAAUUACUGGGCGUAAAGCGCGCGUAGGUGGUCUGUUAAGUCGGAUGUGAAAGCCCCGGGCUCAACCUGGGAACUGCAUUCGAUACUGGCAGACUAGAGUGCGAGAGAGGGAGGUAGAAUUCCAUGUGUAGCGGUGAAAUGCGUAGAUAUGUGGA